Molecule: unclassified non-coding RNA, 188 nt
Filed under: uncultured Capronia
Lineage: Eukaryota; Fungi; Ascomycota; Eurotiomycetes; Chaetothyriales; Herpotrichiellaceae
Description: sequence contains ITS1
Source: RNAcentral
UCGAGUUAGGGUCUUUUAGGCCCGACCUCCAACCAUUUGUCUACUUUACCACUUGUUGCUUCGGCGAGUCCGCCCCUUGAAAUAUAGGGGCCGCCGGGGGUUCAUACCCCUAGUCCGCGCUCGUCGAUAGCCAUCAUUAAACUCUUGUUUUAACUGUGUCGUCUAAGUAAAAACACUUAAUUAAAUUA